UACGGAAGGCAGCAGGUGGGGAAUAUUGCACAAUGGGCGAAAGCCUGAUGCAGCUAUGCCGCGCGUAUGAAGAAGGGCCUUAGGGUUGUAAAGUACUUUCAUCGGGGAGGAAAAACAAAACUAAUAAUUUUAUUUCUUGACGUUACCCGAAAAAGAAGCACCGGCUAACUCCGUGCCAGCAGCCGCGGUAAUACGGAGGGUGCUAGCGUUAAUCAGAAUUACUGGGCGUAAAGAGCACGUAGGUGGUUUUUUUAAGUCAGAUGUGAAAUCCCUGGGCUUAACCUAGGUAACUGCAUUUUGAAACUGAAAUACUAGAGUAUCGUAGAGGGAGGUAGAAUUCUAGGUGUAGCGGUGAAAUGCGUAGAUAUCUGGAGGAAUACCUGUGGCGAAAGCGGCCUCCUAAACGAAUACUGACACUGAGGUGCGGAAAGCGUGGGGAGCAAAACAGGGAUUAGAUACC
This 460-nucleotide ribosomal RNA is filed under the name uncultured bacterium. RNAcentral's name for it is "bacterial SSU rRNA". It matches the Rfam family "Bacterial small subunit ribosomal RNA", at positions 340 to 786 of the family's 1533-position model. The record is from RNAcentral.